UUUCAUUUUUUCACUCGCUUCUUCUUCACCUCCCUCCCUUCUGUCUCGCUUUUCUCCUCUGACUCACGUCCGAUCCGAGGGCCAUCGCUCUCCCUCUCUCUCCAUUUCUCUCAACCUGUGAAUGCCGAUCCUUCGUUACUUCCUUCGGCGAUCUCCAUACUCGAUCGCUUAGCGCGCGCGCGCUCUCUCUCUCUCUCUCUCUCUCUCUUCCGUCGGAGAAAGCAUCGCCCGUCGAUUCUCUCGCCGUCUAGGGUUUUCGACGAUUCGCACCAGGUGCUGUGUCGGUCAAGGUUUUGUCCAAUUUGCUUGGAUGACCUUGGAACAACUUUUAAACCAUGGCAUCAGGUACAACUGGAGAUCGAAGGCGGGUUCUUGCAAGAAGAAGCAACAUGACAGUCUUGGGGAAAGUCGCCGUUCCUAAACCCAUAAACCUGCCCAGCCAGAGGCUUGAAAAUCAUGGUUUGGACCCAAAUGUGGAAAUAGUUCCAAAGGGUACCCUUAGUUGGGGUAGCAGGUCCUCUGCCUCUACGCCCAAUGCAUGGGGUUCAUCUUUGCUCUCCCCCAGUGCUGACGGUAGUAUAAAUUCACCGAGCCACCUCAGUGCUCGGCCUUCAUCGGGUGAAAGUGGCACCCGACCAUCUACUGCGGGAAGCGACCGGGCUCUUGAUUCUAUUAAUGCAUGGGGCUCAAAUUCUCGGCCAUCUUCUGCUUCUGGAGCAUUGUCAUCCAGUCAGACAUCACUAGCAUCAUUACGUCCUCGAAGUGCAGAAACAAGGCCUGGUAGCUCACAGUUAUCUCGUUUUGCAGACUCUGUGCUUGAUAAUUCAGUGGCUGGGGGUGUGGAAAGACUGGGACCGACAUGCUCUAAGAAUGACAGGUUUUCUUUAAGUUCUGGGGACUUCCCAGUUCUUGGUUCAGAGAAAAAUGGUUGUGGGAGAAGUGCAGGCUCACAAGAGCAUGCUCCUCAAGGUUCUGAGUUAUCUUCUGAUACAGUCGUAUCGGUGAAAGAAGGUGACAGCUCUGUCAAUGCUGAUCCAAGGAAUAGAGUCGAGAACUCAUGGAGAAGAGACAAUGCUCCCUGUGGCGAAGAUGGUGGACCUGAUGCAGACAAGUGGCGUGGGGAUCAUCCUCCUCACCAAAAUGCUGGCAUCCUCCCUCAGCAGUUUAAUGCUUGGCAUGGUCCUCUAGUUAACAAUCCUUCAGGCGGUGUUUGGUUCAGAGGGCCUCCAGGGGGCCCCCCUUAUGGAGCUCCUGUUGCACAUGGUGGCUUUCCUGUGGAACCAUUUCCUUAUUACCGUCCUCAAAUUCCACCUCCUGCUCUUCCCACCCUGCAGUCCAUUCCUCCUCCAGGUCCUGGACCUAGGGGACACCACUCAACUAGUGGAGAUAUGUAUAGACCUCAAAUGCCCGAUGGUUUUAUUCGCCCAGGUAUGCCUCUUAGGCCUGGGUAUUACUCUGGUCCUAUGACCUAUGAGGGUUAUUUUGGUCCUCCAAUGAACUACCACAAUUCAAAUGAACGAGAUAUUGCAUAUGCGGGGAUGGCAGCUGGCCCCUCUCGGUUUCCUGGCCAAAAUGCUCCUGAUAUUCCACAUAGAUCUGGUGGCUAUGGUUCCACUAAUAAAGCAUCAGAUGGUGAGGAAGUGGAUUUGGGUCAUCCUCAUGGUACAAGGGGGCAGUACAAAGUCCUCUUGAAGCAACAAGAGAGUUGGGAUGGAAAGGGUGAAGGGCAUAAACGGGAGGGAAGUGUUACAAAGGAUGAGUCAUCUCUGGACAAGGGAGAACCUGGCAACAAAGCAUCAUGGAAGAACCAUUGGAGAGUGGAUCGCAUCAAUGAAGAGAAAGAUCUAGAAAAUGCAGAACCAGUUGAGGAGGCUUCUCAGAAGUUUGAUUAUAGAGGGGGUGGUCCUGGUCCAACCAAGGUAAAGGCAUUUGAAAACGUGCAAAGGCCUGAUGAUACUGAUUCAGCGAGAGGACCGUAUAAGAGCUCUGUCCCAGAAGCUCCAAAAUCUUCUGUCGCUGCCCCAAAGGAUUCAAGUUUACUCCGGAAAAUUGAGGGAUUAAAUGCUAAAGCUCGGGUUUCUGAUGAUCGCCAUGAGUAUACAUUUGUUUCCAAUAGGGCAGAGGAAGAUGAUAACUUUCAAGGAACUCACACCAUGUCUAGCCAUUCUACAAAAGAAAUUGGCUCUGAUGCUCUUCAUGUUGAAAGAAUUCAUGCUGGUAAGGUGACCAAACCUAGCCUAUCUGAAAUGGAUUCUCCUAGUGGGCGUAAGAGCCUCGAGCAAGCUGAUGUCAGUGAGGCAACCAUUCCUAGGCAGUAUCCUCAUGGAGGACAAGGAAAAUCUUAUCAUCGUGGUAAAGGAAGAUCAAGUACUCAAGAUGUCGACGAGCGGUGGAAGAGAUCUAAGGAGCCUGACCAAUUAGUUGUUGUACCAGAUGCAUCUCUAGAGAUUUCUAACAUUCAUGUGCCCCAGCAUAUGUCUGGGAAGGCUAAUGAUAUCUGCGCACCAUUAUACCAAGGAAAGGAUGACGGAGGAACUGUGUCCAUUGCUUAUGAUCCCAACGAGAGUGAGGCGGAGCGAGCUAAGAUGAGAGAGUUGGCAAAGCAACGGGUGAAACAGCGGCAGUUCGAGGAGGAAGAACGAGCUAGAGAUCAGAAGGCAAAGGCACGCAUGAAAUUGGAAGAACUGAACAGACGUGCACAAGCUAUUGAUGGUUCAAUUGGAAAAGGUGAAAAUGUGUCAACCGGUGCUACUUUGAAUAAGCAACAUAACUUGCAGCCCAUUGUUGAAAUGACAAAAUCUUCUACUGGGUCUGUAGUGCUAAGCUCUCAGUCUGUUUCUAGUACCAUUACAGUUUCUCAAGUUAGUGAUGGUAUUGUAAGAUCCAUUGUUCCGCCCAAUCUUUCACAAGAACCACCUGAUGGUGCUUGUGAGGAACAUGCAUUGGUAGGCAAUCAGUCUGGGCUUUUGAAGCAGGACACCAAAACUGGUGGUGCUUCUGACCCUAUUGAAGAUGGUCGUACAUUUAAGCAGAAGCGUAUGGGAUUCAAACAUAAAUUACACAUUUCAUCAGAAAAAAACUUCAAUGAGAAGUGCACUCUUGAGCCGUCCAAAGUUGCUAAUGGAGCAGAUAGUGUCACAAAACCAGCUGAUGUUCCCUAUGAGAGUACUCCAAGCUGUGAGGAUAGGAUUCCUGUCAAUCCACAUGGUAUGGUUGAGUCUGUUCAGCAAAGAAGAAAAGGCAACAAGACUAGUAGGAACAAGCAUAAGGUGGAUGAGUCAUCAACUUUAUCUGCUUUACCUGUACUUGUAUCUAAAGAGAUCAUUGUGCCGAACACCAUAGAAGAAAGCAUUCAGCUAAAGUCUCCCGAGUCCAAUUUGGAUUCUGCACGGGUCGAGUCACUACCUGAUUCUGGAGAUGCCAAACAGCCUUCAGAGCGGCACUCUGCUGUCGCAGGUGAAGAAGUCCAUACUAGAGUAAAUUAUCAGUGGAAGUCACAGCAUUCUCGCAGGAUACCAAGAAAUCAACAAGCCAACCGGUUUGCAGAUAAGCUCCACGGUAGUGAAUCUGUUGUAUGGGCGCCUGUUCGAUCACAGAACAAAACUGAGGUUUCCGAUGAAGCUAGUGACAGGGCACUAGUUGAGAGUGUUAAUUCAACCGUCAAGAUCGACAAUCCAGUCCAGAACAAUCCAAAAAAUAAGAGGGCAGAGAUCGAGAGGUAUGUUCCAAAGCCUGCUGCCAAAGAAAUGGCUCAGCAAGGAAGUAUCCAUCAACAUACGGUUGCUUCAAGCAGUAUAAAUUCUGGAGAUGCUAGUGUUGAGGGGGGAGGAGGUUCAGGUUUGCAAAGCAUUGAAAAUGCUCAACCUGCCAGAGCAUCAUCUAGGAAUGGAGAUGGUAGGUUAAAUAAGCCAGGAAAAGCCCAUGGAUCAUGGCGCCAACGUGGGCCAAAGGAAUCAACUUUGCAUGAUUUGGUGGAUGGACAAUCUUAUACCUCGGACAUAGGUAAAGAUGUUCAAAAGUUGAGUGGGCAUCACCAAGCUGAGGAACGUGAACUAAGAUCAGUGGAUGAGAUGCCAAAAUGUUUUGAUGAGCUGGGUUCUGGUGAUGGUUCAAACCUUCCAAGUGAUUCCAACUCUGCUGCAGAGGUCGCAAUUCAUCCUGCCAGAGAUCAAGGAGUUGCAGGAAGAGGAAAGCGUCAUGCUUUCCGGGCAUAUAAAGCCACAGGGGUUACUGUAGAUCGUGAUCAGAAGAAAAGCAUUGAGGAAAUGGAUGAAAGUCAAAACCAAUCUUUGGCUCCUGAGGCGAUCCAAAGAAGUCCAGUUGUUCCAAAGGAAAGCCAUGUUGUUUCUGAACGUUCAACUUCUCAUUGGCAACCCAAAUCCCAUUCAUCUUCUGCUCAUAUUUCUCGAGGAAGUAGGAUGACUGGAGGUCAAAAUAUUCAGGCCGACAGUGGUGGAAUUGAUGCAGAGCUCCCUCAUGGUGGUGUACCCGCUUUAGCACAGCAUGAAAUGGAACAUCGUGAUGCUUUGUCCACCAAUGACAAUCAAAAACAUGAUUCCCGAAAAGAUUAUUCAAAUGAAGCAGGGCAGGUAGAGGAUAAGAUGGAAAUGAAGGCUAUAGCAAUUGGAGUCCGUACCCAUUCUUCGACACAGGUUCCAGUUAGGUCAACUGGUGAUGUGCGUCACGAGUCCCAAUUUCCUUCAGGGUUCCACAAGAACCAGGGUGGUCGAAAUGCAAGAGGCAAUGGAUCUCAUGGAGAUUGGAACUCAAGUGGGCAGGAAAAUAACCGACAUCGGGAAAGACAGCGGCCCAACUCACACUUCAGAUAUCAGCCUGUGGGGACAUACAGCGACAACAGAUCAAACCAUGUCGAAGGAUCCAAAGAUGUUUCUCAAAGUACAGGCAUGAAGUUUAAGGAGAAGAGUGGUCAAGGCAGUUCCAGGCGUGGUGGAGGGAACUAUACAGACCGGCAAGUUGGCACUGGUCGAGUUGAUUCUGACUGUAAUUAGUAGAGAGUAGAGUCCUAGAUGUGUUCUGUUGUAGACGGCUCCUCUGGUCUUGAUUGGUAAUACCCCUGUGCCUUCAGGUAUUGAUAUUUGCUGAUUACUGCGGACGAGGUAGGCUGCUGUACCAUCUCGAGUGAUGGUUUGUCAUGUGAAUGGUUGUCCAGGUCGAGAGCGUGGCAGAUGCAUCUCGGAUAGUCGGUUGAUAUGGGUUGGUUUUGACAUAUGUGGUGGGCUUCUUUCCUUACCUUGUUUUUACAAACGCAUUGUUCUGCACAAUUUAAUAUGGUCAUGGUCUUUUCUUCAAUGGAUCUUUUCACAUGUUCCCUUGACAUUUGUACUUGAUUAGCCAAUAGCUUCGCUGCUCUUUAACAAUGAGGCAUAGAGACUGAAGCCGUCAACUUAGAUCAGACUUCCUUUUUAGGUGCUAAGUGAGCUUAUAGGACACCAUCUGCCCCAGCAGUUAUGUGGGAUUUGUGGUGGAUUCUGGUUUAUAGCUUGUUUGUUGAUGACUUCUUGUUGAUAAACAUUCCUUGUUGCUGGAUGCUAGCCAUGCCGAUUGCGGCUCGUGGCUAAUUUGUUGGGCUCGAUUAUUUGCAGUGUCUGGGCAUGUCUAUGAGCUAUGAGAUAUUAUACAUUAUAUUUUCUAAUGUA
Molecule: RNA transcript, 5657 nt
Organism: Rhodamnia argentea
Lineage: Eukaryota; Viridiplantae; Streptophyta; Magnoliopsida; Myrtales; Myrtaceae
Gene name: protein MODIFIER OF SNC1 1
Exons: 11
Source: RefSeq, a predicted model, not a curated record